UCUCUCUCCAAUAUUGGACAGGGAGUACCGGCGGCUGACUGACGGCCGGAAAGGGCGUGGCGAAUGGGGUCCUUCCCCAUCUUCUCAUUCCGAUUUGUUUUUUUAUUUUAUUUUCUUGCAUCUUUUCGUUCAUCCUAUGUCCUUGCAGGUUAUUGGAUUUUGGUCGCCCUCUCUGCUCCGUCGGGAGGAUGUGUACCAGCUGACCGUAUUAACCAGUUCAGACUUCAGAGACGGACUGAAAGAAGGUUCAAUUUACACCUUUGAAACGUUCAUCGGAUUACUCAGCUCACAAAGAUAGAGGAGAUUACUUCAGAGCCUGAAAGUUUCCAAAUAGGAAACAAUACACUCUUAUCAGACGUUGGCUUGGUGACAAUGCAGACAGAUAUUAUUCCAUCAAGGACAUGUCAAGAUUCAAUUAAGGAGAAAUAUUUACCUCAAAGAUGCAAGUGGUGAACAAGCUAUCGUCACCUUAUGGGGAGAACACGCAGAAGCUUUUGAUGCUGCCUUGCUGCACGAGUCAUCUUUUCACGACAGUAUUGUCGUACUUUUUGUUGGCAUGGCCGUUGCCCAGUAUUCAGUGUGGAUACUAUCACAGGAAAGUUGGCCUUCAAGAGCACAUCCCUAACUCGCUGGCAUGUCAAUAUACCAAUUCCAGAAAUGUCAGACAUACGGAAAAGAUAAAGUUGGCAAGGUUCAGGAAAUGCAAGAGCUGAGCCAACCAAGACAACGCUUUAUGAUCUGGCUAAGAAACCAAGAGAUGACAUUGUGGCCGCGCACCGUCUCAACCAUUGGCAAAAUAAUUAAUCCCUGACUGCACUUACCCGGUAAACUUGCAGGUGUCCCUUAAACUCUUCCGCUAUCGUUGCGUGAUUGUAUCUUUUCGAUAAUUUGUUCUCACUACAUUGUUUCGUAGGUUCUAUUCCUAGCACUGAAGACAUUAAACAGACCAAUGAGGUUGUCAAUGGCUUGCAUUAUUUUUUUGGCGUUUGCUAAAUCAGGAUCUAGAGUUAUAGAUCAUCUCCUUUCGGUACAAACUCCUGAAAAUUGAUAAUACCAUAGUUUUUCAUUUAACUUUGUGCUUAUUAAUCACACCUUCAAGCAGAUAGGAGAUGAUGCAGCUCUAGGCACACUCCCCAGUACUACUUUUUUCAGUCUUUCCUUUGUCCUGGGCGUGGCGUUAUCCUCUGUUUUUAUCGGGGGGCGCUGAAAGACUGGAAUGACAUAUGGUUGGUCAGGUUGCCAGGCCGCUAACAUGGUAGGUUGGUACAUUGUUUUGGAGGGGUGUUCAUGUUGCAUUGUGUGAAUGAGAUAUUUUACAGCCCCCUUUUUGAUGUUUGGAUGUACCGCCAAAAUAUAUUCUCUAUGGCGUUCUAUUUAUAUUCAAGGAAGAUAAGUUCCUCUAAAAUUCAUGUGUUCGUGUGGCUUUUGCAUUACAGCAAAUUGGUCAUUGGGUAUUGUGUAGGUUGGAGGCAAUAUAUUACUGACUCAGUAGAUUACUUUUAUUAGGGCUAAAUUUACCCAUGUUUCGCUUUUUAACUGUAGUGCUAAUUUACAGUAACAGGGCACAACUUGAUGAUCCUGAUCUGAUGGAGCAUUUUAUUUCUGGACUGCAGAUCAUGGUACACCGCCGCCCACAGGAUGACCUGCGAGUUCUGCGACCUCACGUCAAGCUUGGCCGCCAGGAUACGGCUGCCGGUGGUCGUGUCCCAGUCCAACUACUACAGACAGCGAGCAGGCCUGCAGAAAACGAUUGGAAGUCCUACUGCAGUGUGAUUAAAUGGAAAUCGGUACCAAAACAUGAUAUCCCAUAUUUAGCAAUGUAUCCUAUAAUCAGUCUUUUACAUAUUUGAAAGUGGUUAUGUGAUUUUGUUUUCUGCAUACUAUCUCUGUGAUAUGACGCCCAUAACCUGGAGUGAAUGUGCAGUUUUUUUUCAUGUCUGCAUCGAGAUUUAGUACUGUUUUCAUGCUAUCAUAGACUACUUAUCUGCCUUUCCAUCGUAUUUGAUCACAGUCAUUCUGCUGUUAAUAGAAUACGUGGUUUCUGACUGUAUGGAAGUUUCUUAUGGAGAAGUAGUAGCUUUAUUAUUUGUGACCUGUUAAAUAGAUAGUGAUAUCGUCCCCUUACAUUCAAGUGAUUCAACUGUUAUGAUAGCUCUUACUGUUGUAGGCUCACUAAGCGCAGCUUAGGGAACAUCAAUCUAUUCAAAAUAAUAAUGAAGGUAUAUGAAUUUUCUAUCCGUUUCAGUACAAUACUCAAUAUUCACAUGUUCCCUGUGUUUAGAUCACAAAUACUUAUCUAAAUAUAUUCCAAAAAAUAUUACAAGGUACUGAUCAUCAUGCACAGUGAUUUCUCUAUUUUCUAGACUUUCGUUUUCCGAGGGAUUCAUGUAAUUACUUUUUGACAUGCUGAUGCAGUGCUGCAGUUUAAUUCUUCGUUGUACUCAGUUAGGGACUUAGGUCUAUAAGGAGAUCAAAUAUUUCUUAGAGCUCUGAAUUGGUGUGCAUGUAGUAUAAUAAAGUGGUUCUUGAAUUUUACAUAUAUCCUCGCUUUGGGUUGAGUAAAUCGAUAAAAAUAUGCUUUUCUUUUUUGCUUUAUCUCUUUCUUAAGUGGUUGAAUUCAGAAGAUAAAAUACCCAUCUGCCACUGGCAUCUGGACUUUGUUUAUGCGAUAUACAUUUGACCGUGGCUCAGUUUCAAAUACUGAGUAAUUUGUUCUGAAGGGAGCUUGGCAAUUUUAGUGAGGCCUAAAGAUAGUGUUCAUAUGUUACAGUUGUAUCAUGAAAUCUGAAUCUGAAGUUUUGAAGUUCAGUUUGAAUGAAGGCUGCAAAGAAUAGAUAGACAGAGAAAUCGCUAACUUAGGUAUCUUUCACUCUGCGGAACUUCUAUUCGAUAGCAUAAUAUCAAGUAGAAGGUGCCAAGGCAGUGAGAUUGACAGCGAAAACAUUCUAUUGGAGGUUCUGCUGUUAUAUACAGGGCUGCACAGAGGCUCCUGGGAGUAAGAUUUGCUUUUGUUGGUGAUCGACUGCACAUGCACGUUGCUGUCCAGUUGUUAACAAUUUACUUGGUCCCCUUUACUAAUACACAGACCCAAUGACAUAUAUGCUUAUGUUCAUCACUACACGGUAUUAAAAAAUAGUGUACCCUAUUUCGUAAACCCCAAGUUUUAAGUGGAAAAGCACCUCUUUACUGUGAUGACUCAGUAUAGGAAGAAAAACCGGCUCACAAGUUUUGGUGUUCACACCCGAGUGGACAUGCUACCACAAACUGUGAUAAUUCUCAUCCUGGUUCAACAAGUGUGAUUUCGGUAACCUGCAUUUCUUGUGAUCAUGAUCCGUGCUUGCACUAUUUGUGGAAACCUAUAUGUGACACCCUGAAUCUGCUUUCAUAUUUUCCAGAUUUUGUUGCUUGGAUCGGCAGAAGCUGCCUACAUUUAAAUGUCCAUUGUGCAGAGGUCUCUGACUUGCAUGUUUAUGCUCUCAUGUAGAAUAAACAAUUAAUGCAGCAUUAGAUUUUUAUUCUUACAAGGUUUGUUCCAUAAGCCUAGAGCUUUUUGCAAGCACAGUUCACUCAGGAGUCAACAUUAAUGAGCAUAUAUAUAAGAUCAAUCAUCUCUAGGAUGUGGUAUCGCGUCGAGGCUACAGGUCAAGAACCAUCUCGCUUUUAAUGAAGAUUCAUGAUUGUUGCAUCCGUACAAUUAGCCAAUUUUCAUGAUGUUUGCCUCCAUGUCUUUCCUUAAAGGGGGUCUUCUAUUGUUCUCUGCUGUCACUUGAAGAUGUUGCAGCUACUAACCAUGCCCAGAAAAUUAUUAAUUGACCUUCAGUGUUUC
RNA transcript from Lolium rigidum, 3826 nucleotides. RefSeq lists it as uncharacterized. The transcript is spliced from 12 exons. NCBI's taxonomy places the organism in Eukaryota, Viridiplantae, Streptophyta, Magnoliopsida, Poales, Poaceae. The record is from RefSeq and is a predicted model, not a curated record.